AAGAAACUUGAUCAAUUGUAAAGUGUAGCCGAUAUUGGUUGUAUAAUUCGGAUACACCUUCCGAUCAUAUCCAUCGAGAUUGAUCGAAUCCCUACGCUUUGAGUCUAUCGUAUCUUCUUUAUGAUCUACGUUUCCAUUAUUACAUUUUGUUUUAUUUCCAUUACAUAUCUAAGUGACUAAUCGUCCUAGUUGUUUAACAUAUAAAUAAAAAACACACCAUUCCUUC
This 226-nucleotide long non-coding RNA is filed under the name Carica papaya (papaya). RNAcentral describes it as "long non-coding RNA (CPAP_LNC010701)". The record is from RNAcentral. Lineage: Eukaryota; Viridiplantae; Streptophyta; Magnoliopsida; Brassicales; Caricaceae.